This 550-nucleotide ribosomal RNA is filed under the name uncultured bacterium. RNAcentral's name for it is "bacterial SSU rRNA". It matches the Rfam family "Bacterial small subunit ribosomal RNA", at positions 234 to 818 of the family's 1533-position model. The record is from RNAcentral.
CGGCGCAUUAGCUAGUUGGAGAGGUAAACUCACCAAGACGAGCGAUGCGUAUCCGACCUGAGAGGGUGAUCGGCCACAUUGGAACUGACACGGUCCAGACUCCUACGGGAGGCAGCAGUGGGGAAUAUUGCACAAUGGGCGAAACUGAUGCAGCAACGCCGCGUGAGUGAAGAAGGCCUUCGGGUUGUAAAGUUCUGUCUUUGGACGAUAAUGACGGUACCAAAGGAGGAAGCCACGGCUAACUACGUGCCAGCAGCCGCUAAUACGUAGGUGGCGAGCGUUGUCCGGAUUUACUGGGCGUAAAGGAUGCGUAGGCGGUUUUAAGUGAGAUGUGAAAACCCUGAGCUUAACUUAGGGAGUGCAUUUCAUACUGGAACUAGAGUGCGGGAGAGGAAAGUGGAAUUCCUAGUGUAGCGGUGAAAUGCGUAGAGAUUGAAGAACACCAGUGGCGAAGGCGACUCUCUGGACCGUAACUGACGCUGAGGCAUGAAAGUGGGUAGCAAACAGGAUUAGAUACCCUGGUAGUCCACGCCGUAAACGAUGAGUACUA